Molecule: unclassified non-coding RNA, 24 nt
Filed under: Mus musculus (house mouse)
Lineage: Eukaryota; Metazoa; Chordata; Mammalia; Rodentia; Muridae
Description: oocyte_clustered_small_RNA13762
Source: RNAcentral
UACAUGUGAACGUGUGGGGCCCUG